RNAcentral lists this transfer RNA (76 nucleotides) under Roseomonas acroporae. RNAcentral describes it as "tRNA-Lys". It matches the Rfam family "tRNA". Rfam says of the family: Transfer RNA (tRNA) molecules are approximately 80 nucleotides in length. Their secondary structure includes four short double-helical elements and three loops (D, anti-codon, and T loops). Further hydrogen bonds mediate the characteristic L-shaped molecular structure. tRNAs have two regions of fundamental functional importance: the anti-codon, which is responsible for specific mRNA codon recognition, and the 3' end, to which the tRNAs corresponding amino acid is attached (by aminoacyl-tRNA synthetases). tRNAs cope with the degeneracy of the genetic code in two manners: having more than one tRNA (with a specific anti-codon) for a particular amino acid; and 'wobble' base-pairing, i.e. permitting non-standard base-pairing at the 3rd anti-codon position. Lineage: Bacteria; Pseudomonadati; Pseudomonadota; Alphaproteobacteria; Acetobacterales; Roseomonadaceae. The record is from RNAcentral.
GUGCCCGUAGCUCAGCCGGUAGAGCACGUGACUUUUAAUCAUGGGGUCCCGGGUUCGAAUCCCGGCGGGCACACCA